AGAGUUUGAUCCUGGCUCAGGACGAACGCUGGCGGCGUGCUUUACACAUGCAAGUCGAGCGAUGAGAUCCCUUCGGGGAAGGAUUAGCGGCGAACGGGUGAGGAACACGUGAGGAAUCUGCCUUCAACACUGGGAUAACUCCGGGAAACCGGGGCUAAUACCGGAUACGAGACCUGCAGGCAUCUGUGGGUCUGGAAAGUUUUUCGGUUGAAGAUGACCUCGCGGCCUAUCAGCUUGUUGGUGAGGUAAUGGCUCACCAAGGCGACGACGGGUAGCCGGCCUGAGAGGGCGACCGGCCACACUGGGACUGAGACACGGCCCAGACUCCUACGGGAGGCAGCAGUGGGGAAUAUUGGGCAAUGGAGGGAACUCUGACCCAGCGACGCCGCGUGCGGGAUGAAGGCCUUCGGGUUGUAAACCGCUUUCAGCAAGGAAGAAGCGAAAGUGACGGUACUUGCAGAAGAAGCACCGGCUAACUAUGUGCCAGCAGCCGCGGUAAUACAUAGGGUGCAAGCGUUGUCCGGAAUUAUUGGGCGUAAAGAGCUCGUAGGUGGUUCGUCACGUCGGAUGUGAAAAUCUGGGGCUUAACCCCAGACCUGCAUUCGAUACGGGCGAGCUAGAGUGUGGUAGGGGAGACUGGAAUUCCUGGUGUAGCGGUGGAAUGCGCAGAUAUCAGGAGGAACACCAAUGGCGAAGGCAGGUCUCUGGGCCAUUACUGACACUGAGGAGCGAAAGCGUGGGGAGCGAACAGGAUUAGAUACCCUGGUAGUCCACGCCGUAAACGGUGGGCACUAGUUGUG
RNAcentral lists this ribosomal RNA (800 nucleotides) under uncultured bacterium. RNAcentral describes it as "bacterial SSU rRNA". It matches the Rfam family "Bacterial small subunit ribosomal RNA", at positions 8 to 824 of the family's 1533-position model. The record is from RNAcentral.